Molecule: ribosomal RNA, 364 nt
Filed under: uncultured Thalassiosira
Lineage: Eukaryota; Bacillariophyta; Thalassiosirophyceae; Thalassiosirales; Thalassiosiraceae
Description: partial Eukaryotic small subunit ribosomal RNA
Rfam family: Eukaryotic small subunit ribosomal RNA
Source: RNAcentral
UUGCAGUUAAAAAGCUCGUAGUUGAACUUCAGGUCUGGUGGGCCGGUCCGCCUCACGGUGUGUACUGGUCGACUGGACCUUACCUCUUGGUGAGCCGUCAUGCCGUUUAUUCGGUGUGGCGGGGAACCAGGACUUUUACUUUGAAAAAAUUAGAGUGUUCAAAGCAGGCCUAUGCCCGAAUACAUUAGCAUGGAAUAAUAGAAUAGGACGUGCGGUUCUAUUUUGUUGGUUUCUAGGAUCGCCGUAAUGAUUAAUAGGGAUAGUUGGGGGCAUUAGUAUUCAGUCGCUAGAGGUGAAAUUCUUGGAUUGACUGAAGACUAACUACUGCGAAAGCAUUUGCCAAGGAUGUUUUCAUUAAUCAAGA